GAUGAAGAACGUAGUGAAAUGCGAUAAGUAAUGUGAAUUGCAGAAUUCAGUGAAUCAUCGAAUCUUUGAACGCACAUUGCGCCCCUUGGUAUUCCGAGGGGCAUGCCUGUUCGAGCGUCAUUAUAACCCCUCAAGCUCAGCUUGGUGUUGGGGCCUGCUGCACUGGCAGCCCUUAAAAUCAGUGGCGGCGCCAUCUGGCUCUAAGCGUAGUAAUUCUUCUCGCUAUGGAGUCCUGGUGGAUGCUUGCCAUCAACCCCCAAUUUUUCUAUGGUUGACCUCGGAUCAGGUAGGAUACCCGCUGAACUUAAGCAUAUCAAUAAGCGGAGGA
RNAcentral lists this unclassified non-coding RNA (328 nucleotides) under soil metagenome. RNAcentral's name for it is "partial contains 5.8S ribosomal RNA, internal transcribed spacer 2, and large subunit ribosomal RNA". The stretch from base 1 to 120 matches the Rfam family "5.8S ribosomal RNA", at positions 35 to 154 of the family's 154-position model. The record is from RNAcentral.